ACGACUUCAAAGCUAAUGAAAUUCACUAGGUACUCAGUGCUCUUACAUAUUUUCGAAAGUUGUACAGAGAAGCUGUAUAAAUAAAGGAAAAGAGGUAACAAAAUAGAUAUAAAAAAAUAGUAGAAGUUAGAAGUCAGAAGACGAAAGAAGUGCACAUCUAUAAUUCUUGGUGAGAUGUUUGUCUACUUUCAUAUUCCGAAAUUACAGUAACCUUUUUUGUCUUUCCUCCCCAACGAACGCACCCUCUCCGAACGGGAAGUCCCUGGGACUGAACGACCCAUCAAUCUUUCGAACGCUCCAACGGUCGUCAAUUACAAACACCCGUCUUUCUCCGACUCUCCCUCUAUACAUUCUUGUUGAUUCCGUCUUCGGUAUUCCCUCCCGACUCUUCCUCCACCUUCCCCUCCGACCUUCAAUCCGUUACUAAGACCCUAUCCUCUGUAACUAAGACUCUAUCCUCGCGACAUUCAUCGAAGAUGAACCUGGUGUCCGUUUUCUGCCAUCUUUUGACUACCAAGUUUUCUGCUGCCAACAACAUUACAUGACAAUUAAUAAGGCGCAAGGGCAAACGAUUCCCUAUGUUGAUCUCUAUUUACCUCAAAGUGUUUUCUAACGUGGGCAACUAUAUGCGCAUUGUCUUCUGAGAUUUCUAAGGCAACUACAAAAGUUUUGCUCAAAACAAGAGCUGAUGAAAGUAAGAAACGCUCGUACACCAAAAAUGGAGUAUUUAAGGAGUUAUUAACUCAGUGAAGCAAGAAACCACCUCUUACGUGAUAUCCAUUUAAAGACUUAAAGGGAAUCAUGCUCAAGCCAUUGUUGGUAUGCCAACCAAGAGUUUGAAGUGCAAUGGUGAUUUGGAAGUGGAAGUGAUAAUUGAUGUAUGCAAUUUGUCUCACUUAUGCAAUUUCCAACUGUGAUUCUUAUCUUUUCCCCUUGUGCUUAUGAGAAAGAGCUGGCUAACUUGGUGGCCAAACAUCCCAUGAAUUUGGAGGAUCCCACUCUUGUUUGUUGAAAAAAUUUUAACUACGGAAAUAGUAGACCCCUUACUUUUCAAAAAAUCGAGGAACUCAAUAGUGUUAUGCCAUAGAACCGUUCCAAAUGGGGAAAAAAGGGCAGGCCUGGAUUGGCAUUUUAGUUUUCUAUACUCCAAAUAUAAAAAUGUAUGACAAAUCUUUCACGUGCAACGCACGUGCAGCUUUACUAGUCCGUGUAAAUGACUAACUG
Rhododendron vialii is the source of this 1224-nucleotide long non-coding RNA. RefSeq lists it as uncharacterized. The record is from RefSeq and is a predicted model, not a curated record. The transcript has 3 exons. Lineage: Eukaryota; Viridiplantae; Streptophyta; Magnoliopsida; Ericales; Ericaceae.